Molecule: ribosomal RNA, 945 nt
Filed under: Triticum aestivum (bread wheat)
Lineage: Eukaryota; Viridiplantae; Streptophyta; Magnoliopsida; Poales; Poaceae
Description: partial small subunit ribosomal RNA
Source: RNAcentral
AUGCGCCACCCCUCGCCGCCGCCGGAGCUCCCCGCGGCCGGGGGUGAGAUCCAGGCCAUGGCGCCCGCCUCGGCCGCGGGCUCAUCCAGCACCGGAGGCUCGUUCACGGCGCUCCUGGGGCUCCCGACCUCACAGGCCAUAGAGCUCCUGCUCCCCGGCGCGGCGCCGGCGCCCGCGCCCGCGCCCGCCUUCCCCUCCGACCCGCACCUCGUCGACCGCGCCGCCCGCUUCUCCGCCUUCGCGUCGCCGUCGCCGUCCCCGACCCCUCCUCCCGCCGCCUCCUCCGCCAAGCGCAAGGCUGACCCCGCCUCCAAGGGGAAGGUGGCGAAGAAGGGGAAGACGACGGCGGGCGGCGGCGAGGAGAAGGACUCGGGCGAGGACGAGAAGCCGGCGUACGUGCACGUGAGGGCCAGGAGGGGCCAGGCCACGGACAGCCACAGCCUCGCCGAGCGGGCGAGACGGGAGAAGAUAAAUGCGAGGAUGGAGCUGCUCAAGGAGCUGGUCCCCGGAUGCAGCAAGGUAUCAGGAACAGCGCUGGUACUGGAGGAGAUCAUCAAUCAUGUUCAAUCCCUUCAAAGACAAGUCGAGUACCUGUCAAUGAGACUCGCAGCAGUAAACCCAAGGGUUGACUUUGGUGGGCUAGACAACCUUUUGACUACAGAGUGUGGAAGGAUAACAGGUUUAAACUGCAAGAGUGGAAUGGACUUGGAGCAAGUCAGCUGGCCUGACAUGGGCGUUCACGGAGCAAGAAAUCUCGCGCAGCUACAACAGCAGUUCUGGCAUGGUGAUUUGGCACAUCCACAUCAGCCAGCUUCACAGUGGGAAAAACGGGGGGAUGUACAACCCUCUGGCUUUAGCAACACCAGUUCUUCUCUCUUCGGCUACGAUCUCGCAAGCUCUGGACCGCAGCAACCGCCAACAAGCAAGCUAAAAACAGAGCUGUGA